AUUGAAACAAAAACUGUAGAAAGCAGCGGAAGUAUUCGUUCGUACAUUUUUGCAGAAGCGAUUCGCGUCAGAACGCGACGAGGCUGGAUCGUAGAGGUUGAUUCGCGUGUCCUCAGAUCGUCCUUGAAGGUCUUCUAACGCUCCAAACUCACGGUGGAUCGAACUACAAACGAGCACGAUCGCAAAUCCACCGUUCAAGACCCUCUAGAAUAAUAGAUUAAUAGAGGAUGUGGUUUCUAUAUUUUUCUCUUAGUUUUUCUUGUUCUCUUUCUUAUUAAUUUUAUGUGAGAUCGCCCGCAUAGUUAUAAGGGAUUCCAAAAUCCUAAUAGGUGAGUAAGAGAUAAGGCCAAAUCGGUCAUUAACUAUUAUCCUAAUAUGAUUAGAAUUUAUCUCUAAUUAGAUUUCUAAUUUAAAAGCGAAAUUAAUCCUAAUUCAAUUAGACAACAUAAUAACCGUCGGAUCGAGCCCGAUCAUGGGCGCACCCGAUUCGAUUUAACCGAAUGCCAACAAAAACAAAUUUAGUUACUUGUGAUUUUCUUUUUCUUUGUUGUUACUUCUUAUUAAUCUUUGGGCCCAUACAAAUCUAUAAAAGGAGGAAUAUAUAUAUAUAUAUAUAUAUAUAUAUAUAUAUAUAUUUGUCACAAGAACCUCAUGAAGUGCAUUAAAGCUAGCUGGGUAUCAGAACCUAGUCAAAGAUGGAUUAAUUAUAGGGUGGUUUUACAAAAAGAAAAAACUAAAUUAAUAUGGAAAAUGAAUAUGAAUAAAAUCAAAGGAGAAAAAAAAUUGAGAGAAUAAUAUCAUUACAUGUUUAAAUUAACUGCGCCUUUUAGUGAAGCUUUAAGUGAAGCAUUUCUUUCAUGGAAAGAUGCCUCACCAUUUGUGAAGUUCUUUUUUUUUUUCUUUUUUCUUUUUUUACUUGGCUAUAAAGAUAAGUUUGCUAUAAGGUGAUAAGAUACUUACGAGCACUAUUCUUCUUUUGUUUGUUACAAAAAACACAUUUAUGACUAUGAGCAAAUCUAAUCAAGCAUUCCAAUUGAAACAAAAACUGUAGAAAGCAGCGGAAGUAUUCGUUCGUACAUUUUUGCAGAAGCGAUUCGCGUUAGAACGCGACGAGGCUGGAUCGUAGAGGUUGAUUCGCGUGUCCUCAGAUCGUCCUUGAAGGUCUUCUAACGCUCCAAACUCACGGUGGAUCGAACUACAAACGAGCACGAUCGCAAAUCCACCGUUCAAGACCCUCUAGAAUAAUAGAUUAAUAGAGGAUGUGGUUUCUAUAUUUUUCUCUUAGUUUUUCUUGUUCUCUUUCUUAUUAAUUUUAUGUGAGAUCGCCCGCAUAGUUAUAAGGGAUUCCAAAAUCCUAAUAGGUGAGUAAGAGAUAAGGCCAAAUCGGUCAUUAACUAUUAUCCUAAUAUGAUUAGAAUUUAUCUCUAAUUAGAUUUCUAAUUUAAAAGCGAAAUUAAUCCUAAUUCAAUUAGACAACAUAAUAACCGUCGGAUCGAGCCCGAUCAUGGGCGCACCCGAUUCGAUUUAACCGAAUGCCAACAAAAACAAAUUUAGUUA
This 1557-nucleotide long non-coding RNA is filed under the name Ananas comosus (pineapple). RNAcentral's name for it is "long non-coding RNA (ACOM_LNC026349)". The record is from RNAcentral. Lineage: Eukaryota; Viridiplantae; Streptophyta; Magnoliopsida; Poales; Bromeliaceae.